RNAcentral lists this ribosomal RNA (24 nucleotides) under Pythium sp. F-162. RNAcentral describes it as "partial 28S ribosomal RNA". Lineage: Eukaryota; Oomycota; Peronosporomycetes; Pythiales; Pythiaceae. The record is from RNAcentral.
UUGGACCUGAUAUCAGACAAGACA